AACGCAUAUUGCGCCUGAGCCUCUCGGCUUGGGCAUGUCUGCCUCAGCGUCGGUUUAAACACUUGCUCCAUACCCCUAGCAGGGCAAUGGACGCAGAGCUGGCCCUUGGGACCCUUAACCUGCGGGUAAGGGCCCAUUGGUUUAUGAAUGAAAGGGCUUGCCCCAUCCCGCACUUGUGCUGGCCGGACCAGCAGCGGCGGUGCCUGGAUCAAUGGUCUGGUGGCCUAGUGCCUCUGCCUUGACCCGUGGUGCGUUGCUUGCUUGGGGCGCUGCAUAAUGGGUGACGGGAGCGGCUGGGUUCUAAAUCCAGCCGUUUGGACUUGCCUGCAUGAGCGGGGCAGGGGUACUGCGCCCCCGCCCCAGCUUAUGAGCCCCUUAACCUUCGACCUGAGUUCAGGCAGGGCCACCCGCUGAACUUAA
Molecule: unclassified non-coding RNA, 420 nt
Filed under: uncultured fungus
Lineage: Eukaryota; Fungi
Description: partial contains 5.8S ribosomal RNA, internal transcribed spacer 2, and large subunit ribosomal RNA
Source: RNAcentral